This 397-nucleotide ribosomal RNA is filed under the name uncultured bacterium. RNAcentral describes it as "bacterial SSU rRNA". It matches the Rfam family "Bacterial small subunit ribosomal RNA", at positions 505 to 898 of the family's 1533-position model. The record is from RNAcentral.
GUGCCAGCAGCCGCGGUAAAACGUAGGACGCAAGCGUUAUCCGGAGUUACUGGGCGUAAAGGGCGUGUAGGCGGCUUUUCAAGUUCGUCGUGAAAGACCCCGGCUAAACCGGGGGAGGUCGAGGGAGACUGAGAAGCUGGAGGGCGGCAGAGGGACAGGGAAUUCCGGGUGUAGUGGUGAAAUGCGUAGAGAUCCGGAGGAACACCAGUGGCGAAGGCGCUGUCCUGGGCCGCACCUGACGCUGAAACGCGAAAGCAUGGGGAGCGAACGGGAUUAGAAACCCCGGUAGUCCAUGCCGUAAACGAUGUCGACUAGGUGUUCGGCUCCCGGAAGGGAGUUGGGUGCCGCAGCCAACGCGAUAAGUCGACCGCCUGGGGAGUACGGUCGCAAGGCUAAA